UUUAUCGCCCUGAUGUAUUUACAGAGAGCAAUCAAAUCUCCCCUCAGCCUUAGUUAUGUUAGACUAAACAUGCCAAAUAAUUUGACAC
Non-coding RNA from Chelonoidis abingdonii (Abingdon island giant tortoise), 88 nucleotides. The record is from RefSeq and is a predicted model, not a curated record. Lineage: Eukaryota; Metazoa; Chordata; Testudines; Testudinidae.